UACGGAGGGUGCAAGCGUUGUUCGGAUUUAUUGGGCGUAAAGCGCGUGUAGGCGGUCUCUUAAGUCUGAUGUGAAAGCCCCGGGCUCAACCCGGGAAGUGCAUUGGAUACUGGGAGACUUGAAUACGGGAGAGGGUAGUGGAAUUCCUAGUGUAGGAGUGAAAUCCGUAGAUAUUAGGAGGAACACCGGUGGCGAAGGCGGCUGCCUGGACCGAUAUUGACGCUGAGACGCGAAAGCGUGGGGAGCAAUCAGG
This 253-nucleotide ribosomal RNA is filed under the name uncultured bacterium. RNAcentral's name for it is "partial 16S ribosomal RNA". It matches the Rfam family "Bacterial small subunit ribosomal RNA", at positions 524 to 776 of the family's 1533-position model. The record is from RNAcentral.